UACGUAGGGGGCCAGCGUUGUUCGGAAUUACUGGGCGUAAAGGGCGCGUAGGCGGUGCGGUAGGUUCGGCGUGAAAUCUCCCGGCUUAACUGGGAGGGGUCGCCGAAAACGGCCGUGCUGGAGUACCGGAGAGGAGAGUGGAAUUCCCGGUGUAGCGGUGAAAUGCGUAGAGAUCGGGAGGAACACCAGUGGCGAAGGCGGCUCUCUGGACGGUGACUGACGCUGAGGCGCGAAAGCUAGGGGAGCAAACAGG
Molecule: ribosomal RNA, 253 nt
Filed under: uncultured Acidobacteriota bacterium
Lineage: Bacteria; Pseudomonadati; Acidobacteriota
Description: uncultured Acidobacteria bacterium partial 16S ribosomal RNA
Rfam family: Bacterial small subunit ribosomal RNA
Source: RNAcentral